AGUGGGAUAGCUGUGUCAAAUGGUGGUUCCAUUCCAAGUUUUCUGAGGAAUUUCUACACUGCUUUACAAAGUGGUUGCGCCAAUUUACAGUCCCACCAGCAAU
RNAcentral lists this microRNA precursor (103 nucleotides) under Marmota monax (woodchuck). Lineage: Eukaryota; Metazoa; Chordata; Mammalia; Rodentia; Sciuridae. The record is from RNAcentral.